GUGAGGGGCAGCUCGUGUCAUCUCUUCCCCCUGGCACUGGUUACAUACGCUAUCCAGAUUUUUGACAAAUUCAUUGCAGGGUAUAACUGCUGUCUUCUUUUUAUCGUCUUCCCUCCUCAUCCUAAACAGAAAUUCUUACCCGAAAACUGGGGAGAUUGAUUGAACAAUUGUCAAUUUUCUUUCUGAGUGGUUUCUUACAUUAUUUUGUCCCCUGUGAAGAGUGGGAUAUCCUAUCGGUUUCUAAUCUAUUGUUUUUGUGUGACCUCUCCAGGAAUCAAUUCUAUCAGAAAUGUUAUAUCAUGUUCUAUAACUAUUUUUACAACAUGUAAGCACUUCUCAGUCGGAAAGAGUUGUGUGCAUGGCAGGUAACUCAUUGUUUUUUUCCCUUUUUUGUUCAACCAUUGCUUCCUGUUAUUUCGAUCAAUAUAAUGAGAAUGUUUCUGAGGUCUUUAUUUUUAUGUGUUUUGUAUUUCUGUCUUCCUUCGAGUGUUUUCAGCUUAGGGACUAAAUUAGGAAAUGGCCUUCGAGGAUGCUGUUAUUUAGCGAAUAGCAGUCCUCGUCAAUGAUUCAUGUUACUUUAAAUUUAACAUGCUUAAAUUUUAAAAAUGUUGAUCUUGAUGUAUACACUCACAGCUUGCUUACAUUAAUUUCUUAUCUUGAUGUGACACCUUGAGUUUUUACUCUUUUAGUUUCUUUCCUUUUUGUAUUUUGGCGAUGGGUGACAACACUUUAUGCCGUUUGGCCUACAUAUGCAUCUUUAUCCAUGGUCAUCCUUGUAUACGGAUAUUUCUGCUUUGAAUAAGAGCAGCAAGAAAAACUUGUUCUCAUCUUUAAAGGGCUUCUCUUUAUGGCAGUAAAGCAGAAUUUUUUAUAGGCAUGCAUUCAAGAAGAUUCUGGAUCAGUUUUUUUGAAUUAAUUUUCGCGGGCCAAAAUUGAUGACUGGAUGAGAUGCCACUGAAUGUUUCUUCAACAUAUAGCUUCUAGUCUCAGAACUGCAAGUUCAACUAAAUUGAUCACAUUGGAGAAUCUUCUUUCCCGAUUUCAUAUAGUACAAGUGAAUCCUCCGCUGCAAUCUGAAAUUCAAUGCAACAAAAAUGUCCUAAAGAUGUUGGUUCU
RNAcentral lists this long non-coding RNA (1116 nucleotides) under Olea europaea subsp. europaea. Lineage: Eukaryota; Viridiplantae; Streptophyta; Magnoliopsida; Lamiales; Oleaceae. The record is from RNAcentral.